Molecule: ribosomal RNA, 450 nt
Filed under: uncultured bacterium
Lineage: Bacteria
Description: bacterial SSU rRNA
Rfam family: Bacterial small subunit ribosomal RNA
Source: RNAcentral
AUUGAACGCUGGCGGCAUGCUUUACACAUGCAAGUCGAACGGCAGCUCGGGGGCAACCCUGGUGGCGAGUGGCGGACGGGUGAGUAAUGCAUCGGAACGUGCCCUGAAGUGGGGGAUAACGCAGCGAAAGCUACGCUAAUACCGCAUAUUCUGUGAGCAGGAAAGCAGGGGAUCGCAAGACCUUGCGCUUUGGGAGCGGCCGAUGUCGGAUUAGCUAGUUGGUGGGGUAAAGGCCUACCAAGGCGACGAUCCGUAGCGGGUCUGAGAGGAUGAUCCGCCACACUGGGACUGAGACACGGCCCAGACUCCUACGGGAGGCAGCAGUGGGGAAUUUUUGGGACAAUGGGGGAAACCCUGAUCCAGCCAUGCCGCGUGUGUGAAGAAGGCCUUCGGGUUGUAAAGGUACACUUUAAGUCGGGGAGGGAAGGGACCGUUGAGGAGUAAUAACCC